Long non-coding RNA from Physella acuta, 355 nucleotides. RefSeq lists it as uncharacterized. The record is from RefSeq and is a predicted model, not a curated record. NCBI's taxonomy places the organism in Eukaryota, Metazoa, Mollusca, Gastropoda, Physidae.
UCCAAUUGUUAACGUUCUUGAGCAUAUUAAAAUUUGUUUUUUUCAGCAUCGUCAUGAAGACUGUCCUCAUAUUGAUGUGUCUAGCUGUCUUCUGUUCGAUUGGGUGCGCUGCCCCAAACGUGAUAGUCAGUCAAGACACCGACUUGGGUUAUAUUGACACAAGUAAAUCCAAAAGCUUCUACAUAAGGAAUGUUGAUAAACGAUCGCCCGAGAACGCAGAUGUCAACUUUGACAGUGACUGAACUGACAACUAGACACCAGAGGAGGCAACAGUUACUUGCACAGAAAACGGUUCUCAAAGUUUGAGUUGGUGGAGCCUGUCCUUUUAUUUAGAGAGGAAUAAUAAAAGUUCUGU